AAAAAGAAAAUUGGAACAAUACAGAAAAUAUUAGCAUGGCCCCUGCACAAGGAUGACACACAAUUCGUGAAGCAUUCCAUAUUUUU
RNAcentral lists this small nuclear RNA (86 nucleotides) under Balaenoptera musculus (blue whale). The record is from RNAcentral. Lineage: Eukaryota; Metazoa; Chordata; Mammalia; Artiodactyla; Balaenopteridae.